This is a long non-coding RNA of Passer domesticus (house sparrow), 3047 nucleotides long. RefSeq lists it as uncharacterized. The transcript has 2 exons. The record is from RefSeq and is a predicted model, not a curated record. Lineage: Eukaryota; Metazoa; Chordata; Aves; Passeriformes; Passeridae.
GAGACCCUCUGUGGCUUUCUCGUCUUUAACAUGUGUCUUCACAGAGCCGUGUACAGUUUCCUUAGUGGUUUAACAGAUUGCCAAUUCUCAAAGCUAAUUACUGAUUGUUUUUUUGUCAGACAUGGAGGAAACUGCUAGCAGCUUCUCUUAGGACAUCACUUCCAUGAUGCAAAACCACCAGAACAGCACAGAGCACAGAGCUCCUUUGUCCACAUGUAGUGCUCAUGUGCCCGAGGCCUCAAAAUCCCACCUUGGGAGAUCUCUGCACCAUCUCCAAGGUGUUUUCAAAUGAAAAACAUUCAGCUCAGAGUCUAAGAAAAUCACCAGAGGACAGGGCCAGCCUUACCUGUCUGUCCUGGCUAUAUUUGUCUGGGACCAAUGCUUGGAUAUACGGAAUUUGGGAGACCAAAUUCUAAUUUUGGCCAUGGUCCCUUGGCAGAAAGGCCAGUUGUUUUCCAAAGGAAUGAAAGAACAGAGCCCCAGUAUUUCAGGGGCAGAUGAGAGGUGACCACCUUGCAUAGAGGAAAUUUUUUAGGGAAAGUAUCAGUUUUGCCAAUGGGCAUCUAAAAAGAGGGAUAGUUCUUUACUGUAGCAUGGAAAGCAUGCAGCCCCAGUGCUCCAGGAGCUGAUGAGAGCCAGUCCUUGACAUUCCAAGAUCAGCCAGACCUGUCAGGUGGCCCCUGGGAGGCCAAGCCAACCAGACCUGUUCCAUGUUCCAUUGGCUCCAUGGGGCCCCAUAGUGUCCCAAUGGUCCCUUGCUUCCAUGAGGCCCUGAGGUGUCAUAAUUCCCCCUUGGUGACAUGAGGCCUUGAAGGGUCCUAAUGCUCUCCAUGGUUCCAUCAGGCCCCACAGAGUCAUAAUGGUCUCUGGGCUCCAUGAAGCCCUGCUGUGUCACCACGGCCCCUUGGUUCCAUGGGCUCCAGUGGUGCCACAAUGAUCCCCUUGGUUCCAUGAGGUCCCCACAGUGUCCCAGGGAUCUCCAUGGGAAGGAAAGAACCAAGCCCCAGUGUUGUAGGGGCAAUCACCAGAGGCCAAGGCCAGCCAGACUUGAUGGUACUGGCAGAUUUUGCCUGGGAGCAGCCCUUGGAUAUACAGAAUUUUGGAGGAAGGAAAAUGCAGAGCCCAAGAAUUUCAAAGGCAGAAGAGGAGACAGGUGGCUCCUGGGAGGCCAAGCCAGCUAGACCUGUUUGUCCUGGCAACUUUUGUCAUUGAGGAAUCCUUGGAUAUACGGAAUUUGGGAGGAGGAAUCUCAAUUUUGACCACAGACACCUUGAGAAGAAGAAUGAUUCUUUUCCAUUGGAAGGGAAGCCCUGAGUCCCGGUGUUUGGAAAGGAGGUAAGAGGCAGCCCCCAAGAGGCCAAGGGCAGUCAGACUUGUCUGUCCUGGCAGCUUCCACUGGGGAGCAAUCCUUGGAUGUACAGAGUUUUGGAGGUGCAAUCCCAGUUUUGGCCACGGAUGCCUGGUCAAGAUGGAUAGUUUUUUCCUCUUGGAAAGAAAAGCGUGAAUUCCAAGUGUUCUAAAAAAAGAUGAGAGGUGGCCACCCAUAGGCCAAGCCAGCCAGACCUCUCUAUCCUGGCACCUUUCAUCUAGGGACUAUCCUUGGACAUAGGGCAUUUUGGAGAUGGAAUCUCAGUUUUGGCCAUGGGCACCUGGACAGGAAGAAGAGUUCUUUAUUUUAGCAAGGAAAGCACAGAGCCCCAGUGUUUCAAAGGUAGAUGAGUGCCAGCUCUUCAGGUAGCCAAGUCCAGCCAGACUUGUCUGUCCUGGCAGCUUUUGCCUGGGAGCUAUCCUUGGAUACAGGGAAUUUUGGAGGCAGAUUCCCAAUUUUGGUCAUGGGUGCCUGCUCAAGAUGGAUGGUUUUUUUCCCCAUAAGAAAGAAAAGCACAUGGUCCCAGUGUUUCAAAGGCAGAUGAGAGAUGGCCCCUGGGUAUCCAAAGCAGCCAAAUCUGUCUCUCCUGGCAGAUUUCAUCUGGGAACAAUCUUUGCAUUUAAGGAAAUUUGGCAAGGAAUCCCAGUUUUGGCCAUGGGCCCCUGGUGGAGAAGGACAGCUCUCUCCCUUAGGAAGGAAAGCCCAGAGCCCCAGUGCUUCAUGGGCAGAUGAGAAGCAGCCCUGUGAGAGACGGUCUGAAGUUCCCCUCAUUUUGCCUCACAACUGUCUCAAGAGCAGACAUCAGGACCACUGUAAAGACCCUGACUGGAAUUCUGGCUUUGCUUGAGAUGGUUGCUUGUCAAGAUCCUGAGGCCUGAGCAGAGCUUCUGGCUUGCCAAGCUAUUUGCAGGUGUGUUUGCUGCCAUGGAACACUGAACCUAAUGAAAAGGAAAAGGGGCACCUUGUCCUUUUUUGCCUGCACCCAUUUCACACCAAUAGCCCUGGAAUUUCCCCACCUCUCAGCUUGGCUGGACUUUUCUGGGGUAACUCUUGGUGGUCCCCAUGGGAGACCCUUCAUCUGUUUUACAACCACUGUGACAGACAGACUGAGAUGGGAGAAGCCUCUCCCUCAAGGACUGAGACAUGAAACCCCUAUAUGGAGGAGCUCCCCCUCCUCCCAAGGACUGAGAUUGAAACCCCUAACGUGGGGGAGCUGUGUGGGGGAGGCAAGCUGACCAAAGUGAGAUGUUUGCUUGCAGGAGUAACCAUUGGACCAAGAAGACAAUGGUUCUUACCUACUGCUGAGAAUAUGGACUAUCUGUACCCUUCUUCAAUGCCUUCUCUUUUUUUUUAUCUUUCCAUCAGCAAUUACAAUAGACUACUCUUUAUUACAUUUGAUUCCAUUUCUGCACUUGUCCCCUUCCCCCACCAAAAAGGACUACAACAGAAGCUUGAGUUGACCAGUAUCUCUGAGAUCUCCCCUGAUGUGACCAGGUGAACUCCAAUGACUGAAGACUUUGAAGGACUUUGUCUCUCUACGUUUGGUAGCUACAUACCUUCUUUUCUCUUCUUCUCUCUCUUUUUUUCCCCCUAUUCUUCCCUUUUUCCCUGUCCCCCCUAGAACAUUUUCCUGUGGCCAUUCAAUAAAGGUAGAUUUAUUUUUUAUUAUUACUGCAAA